Long non-coding RNA from Erpetoichthys calabaricus (reedfish), 612 nucleotides. RefSeq lists it as uncharacterized. NCBI's taxonomy places the organism in Eukaryota, Metazoa, Chordata, Cladistia, Polypteriformes, Polypteridae. The transcript has 3 exons. The record is from RefSeq and is a predicted model, not a curated record.
ACUGUCAACGCUGUCACUGAAACUGAUUUGUUUUUUAACGGCUUGCUCGCAUUGAAUAGCGGAUGCGGUUUUUUCUUUUUAAAAUAGGCGCAUGCGUAUGGCCGAUUUCAUCAGUAAUGAUUUUGAUUGGCCGAGGAAACCUGGAAAAGGGAACUUCAGGUGACGACUAGAGGACUGUGCACAAAUCACAAUAAAGAGCGCCAUUUACAAAGUAUCUGGGAGUAUAGAAGAAGGCAAGACGCUUUCCGAAAGCGAAACGACUAAAACGGAUUAUAGCUGCAGCCUGUGAGUUUGAAGUGACAAAAAGUAAAAUGGACCUAUAACAGGUGGCGGCAUCCUGACCGUGCCUUCAUAUGUGUGGUUUCUGAAAUACUUCUUCGUGGAGGAAGAAGAGAAAAAAGUUACGGUUCCCAAUGGUUCCAUGGCUUGUGGUAGCUUUCCUAACUCACUGCAAUAUCCAAGAAAGGAAAAGCUGAUAAAGUGGGAAGAUGGUUUUAAUAGAGACACAAGGCAGGAUAUACAGUUGUGGUGAGCAUGAAGCACUGAGAAACACCCCUUGAGGGCAACUGUCUCCACCCCAUCCAGUCAGGGACCUAUAAAAAACCAGAUGCC